UCUGGAACCUCAGAAUCUCCAGGGAAACUGAAAGUUCAUUACAGUUUCCUUGUGUGCCCAACUAUGGUUUUCCUGUAGUUGUGUGGACCAUCAGUAAUCCACUGGGUGUUCAGUUCCUCAGAUGCUGCAGUGCAUGAAGACUCUUAUGUUCACUCUUGCCACCAACAGGACAUCUGGUGGGUUUUAUUUUUUGUUCAGACAUUAGUUAGCAGCUGCAGGAAGUAAAUAAACCUGGAAGACAGAGGCAGCUACUCGGUCUGAUGGUUCACCUGGACAGUGAUGGGGCAGGGCUACACAAAGCUGGACCCCUAUUGGUCAAGAAUUACCAAACACAGACACGGAUUUGCACCAGAUGGGACCGUUAAGGGCUUUAUAGGAGGGAAAGGUUUUAAAUUCUGCUCUGAAACCGAUCAACCCUCACAUUACAAAGCUAUUCAUUUCACCUCAAUAUGUUCACUAUUUUAUGUGGAAGCAGAAAAGCUCUACAUGAGAAAUAAGUAGACUGGAUCUGAUGCAAAGCUAUACUUUAUUUGAAAGAGGAGAUACAAGGAGUCGGACCAAGGACCUCUGCAGUUGUGGAUGGACUGGUCCAGAUGUGUAAUGGAAGUGCUGGUUGUGGAACUGUCAGCAUCAAUCAUCUGAGACCUCACCACUGCUGUCAGACAGCUCGUCAUCCCCAGAAGAGUCGUAAUCCCCAGACGCCUCAUCCCCAGAAGCAUCAUCAUCCAUGAGUUCUGGAUCAGAAGCCUCCAUGUCAUCCAUCCCUCUCCCCAGUCUGGGUUCUAAAGGUGAAAAGGUGUCAUCAUCCUCAGAGUCAUAAUCAUCAUCCUCAGAAUCAUCAUCAUCAUCAUCAUCCUCCUCAUGUUCCUCCAUGUCCUCUGGGUCAUCAGAUGCCUCCAGGUCAUCCAUCCCUCGCCACAGUCUGGGUUCAAAAGGUAACAAGGCAUUCAUCUCGGCAUCAAACAUGUUGGCUGUUGCAGAAUCCUCAUCGUAGUAAUCAUCUCCAGAAGAACCAUCAUCGUAUGCCUCAUCCCCAGAAGCAUCAUUAUCCAUGAAUUCUAGAUCAGAUGCCUCCAUCCCUCUCCCCAGUCUGGGUCCUACAGGUGGCAAGGUGUUCAGCAUUUCUUCAGUUGUGUUUGAAGCUGCAAUUGUGGCAUUAGACUGGGCAUCAGUGAUGUUGGCCAUUGUGGAAUCCUCAUAGUCGGCAUCAUCGGAAUAGUCAUCCUCACCAUCGUACUCCUCUUCAUCGUACUCUUCAUUCUCAGAAUCAUCAGACACCUCCAUGUCAUCCAUCCCUCUCCCCAGUCUGGGUCCUACAGGUGAAAAGGUGUCAUCAUCCUCAGAGUCAUCAUCAUCCUCAGAGUCAUCAUCAUCCUCAGAAUCAUCAUCAUCCUCAUGUUCCUCCAUGUCCUCUGAGUCAUCAGAUGCCUCCAGGUCAUCCAUCCCUCGCCACAGUCUGGGUUCAAAAGGUAACAAGGCAUUCAUCUCAGCAUCAAACAUGUUGGCUGUUGCAGAAUCCUCAUCGUAGUAAUCAUCUCCAGAAGAAUCAUCAUCGUACGCCUCAUCCCCAGAAGCAUCAUUAUCCAUGAAUUCGAGAUCAGACACCUCUAUGUCAUCCAUCCCUCUCCCCAGUCUGGGUCCUACAGGUGAAAAAGUGUCGUCAUCCUCCUCAGAGUCACCAGACGUCUCCAUGUCAGCCAACCCUCUCCCCAGUCUGGGUUUUACAGGCAUCGAGGAGUUCAGUGUUUCUUCAGCUUCCACCGUCAGUGUUGUGGUUGGAGCUGCUAUUGUGGAGUUUGUCUGGGUAUCAGUCAUGUUGGCCGUUGUGUUGUUGGUGUCAGACUCCUCAUCAUCUGACUGCUCUUCAUCCAACUCGUCAUCUGAAUCCUCCUCAUAACCAUCCAACUCUUCAUCAUCCUCAUCAGAAGGGCCAUCAUCUGAUGCAUCCAGGUAUUCUGAGGAAUUGUCCACCAUCUGUGUGAUUACAUUUGACAGGUGCAUUAGCAGAGUUUCCUUCAACAUGUGGAGGUUCUGCUCCUCCCAUCAUUUCAGUUUCCCCUCUCACCUGUCGGGGUUCCACAUUGUGCCAAUGACGAGGAUUCACCCCCCAGUCCCACUGGUCCUGGUGUUGCAGAGCUCUGCGCCGACGAUCCCGCCCAUCUCCUCUGGCUGCACCGAAACAAGCCGCCAGCAUCGUGGACAUCUCCCCAGCCGAAUCCAAAUAGAUCACUUCAAACAUGGAGUCCUGCACAACAUUCAGCCAUUAGUUCUCCACCCAACUAUGACAAACUGGAUGGUGGAUCACUCCAUCCUUACCUUGUCUGCCGGUGUGGAGAUCUGCACCAACACUGGCCCUGGAGUAGUGGUGGUCUGCACCCUCCCAACCACCACAUCUUUCCCCAGAGCCUUCACCUUCUGCAGUCUGCUUCCCUGAGGCAGUUUCACAGCCACUUCUGUGCUCCUGCAGCUCACCGCCGGCAGGGUCCACAUUGCAGGAUCCUCACAGGCGACCACAGCCGUCAUGUUCUCCCGCAGCAGGUGGUCGAAGUAACGCAGCUUCAACUGGUGGAACCACGUUCCAUUUGAAACCUGUGGAACAGACCAAGUCAUCACCAGUUAACAGUUUGUCAUUAGCUGGAGAACAUCCAGGAGUUC
Molecule: long non-coding RNA, 2655 nt
Organism: Amphiprion ocellaris (clown anemonefish)
Lineage: Eukaryota; Metazoa; Chordata; Actinopteri; Pomacentridae
Source: Ensembl